UGUCACAUUGUUUAUAACUAAGUAAUUGUUUUGCUGCUACUUAGUGUUUUACUUUCUGUCUCCAUACAGACCCCAGCCAUGCACAAGUCAUCGGGAUCCUUGGCAGCAACAUCACCCUUCAAUUUACAUUCAACGUUAGCAUUACUGAAAACAGUCAAAUUGGAAUUUAUACAACAGGCGAGAAAAAGAUUGAUGAUUUUAAAAGUGGGAAAAGUUCCUUUGAUAUUUACCCCCAAAAGAAUUCUGUAUUUUACCACAUCACAAAUCUCACUCUAAGCCACAGUAACACCUACUGGGCCAGUUUACUUGGUGGUAUCCCGAGAAAAAGUAAUGAAGUGGAGCUGUUCAUUGAAGAGAAGAACACACACAGUACAGCAUGUCUUUAUCCUGUUUUCCUUCU
Molecule: long non-coding RNA, 400 nt
Organism: Oreochromis aureus
Lineage: Eukaryota; Metazoa; Chordata; Actinopteri; Cichliformes; Cichlidae
Source: Ensembl